GCACCCGUAGCUCAGUUGGAUAGAGUGUGACCCUCCGAAGGUCAAGGUCGCAUGUUCGAAUCAUGUCGGGUGCGCCA
This 77-nucleotide transfer RNA is filed under the name Candidatus Xianfuyuplasma coldseepsis. Its description in RNAcentral is "Xianfuyuplasma coldseepsis tRNA-Arg". It matches the Rfam family "tRNA". Rfam says of the family: Transfer RNA (tRNA) molecules are approximately 80 nucleotides in length. Their secondary structure includes four short double-helical elements and three loops (D, anti-codon, and T loops). Lineage: Bacteria; Bacillati; Mycoplasmatota; Mollicutes; Candidatus Izemoplasmatales; Candidatus Izemoplasmataceae. The record is from RNAcentral.